GCGGGAGUAGUUCAAUGGUAGAACCUUAGCCUUCCAAGCUAAUGAUGCGGGUUCGAUUCCCGUCUCCCGCUCCA
Molecule: transfer RNA, 74 nt
Filed under: Parvibium lacunae
Lineage: Bacteria; Pseudomonadati; Pseudomonadota; Betaproteobacteria; Burkholderiales; Alcaligenaceae
Also listed under: 7 other names
Description: tRNA-Gly
Rfam family: tRNA
About the family: Transfer RNA (tRNA) molecules are approximately 80 nucleotides in length. Their secondary structure includes four short double-helical elements and three loops (D, anti-codon, and T loops).
Source: RNAcentral